AUGAAGAAUAACGUAGAUCGAAUCGCCCGUCCCUCGCCAGAGUCGGGCAUAACUUGUUGUAGUAAACAGUCAGGACGUCAUCGUGCUAAGGCCCAUAGGACCAACACAGUAGAACAACAACCAUCGCCGAUAAAGAAUAACAUAGAUCGAAUCGCACCUCCCUCACUGGAGUCGGACACAACUUAUUUAGACAGUCGGGAAGUCAUCGUGCUAAGGCCCAUAGGACCAGCUGUAACGCCCUCGAUGCGGCUAUAUCUCCUACGUGUCGAAGCACGACUUAGAGGCAUAACCACAUUGAAAGCAAUGUCACAAGUAAGGUAA
This 321-nucleotide ribosomal RNA is filed under the name Triticum aestivum (bread wheat). RNAcentral describes it as "partial small subunit ribosomal RNA". The record is from RNAcentral. Lineage: Eukaryota; Viridiplantae; Streptophyta; Magnoliopsida; Poales; Poaceae.